UCGAACGGUAUGUGGCAACACAUAGAGUGGCGAACGGGUGAGUAACACGUGGGAACGUACCCUACGCAGGGGGAUAACUGACCGAAAGGACAGCUAAUACCGCAUAAGACCGAAAGGUGAAAGGUGCAACUGCACCGGCUAAGGAGCGGCCCGCGGACCAUCAGCUAGUUGGUGGGGUAAGAGCCUACCAAGGCAACGACGGAUAGCCGGCGUGAGAGCGUGGCCGGCCACAAGGACACUGAGAUACGGGUCCUACUCCUACGGGAGGCAGCAGUGCGGAAUUUUAGAUAAUGGAGGCAACUCUGAUCUAGCGACGCCGCGUGCAGGAAGAAGGUCUUCGGAUUGUAAACUGCUGUGGUAAGGGAAAAAUGCCAUGUAGAGUGGAAAGCUACAUGGAGGGAUGGUACUUUACUAGAAAGCCCCGGCUAACUACGUGCCA
RNAcentral lists this ribosomal RNA (439 nucleotides) under uncultured bacterium. RNAcentral describes it as "bacterial SSU rRNA". It matches the Rfam family "Bacterial small subunit ribosomal RNA", at positions 62 to 510 of the family's 1533-position model. The record is from RNAcentral.